This 184-nucleotide non-coding RNA is filed under the name Phenylobacterium zucineum. Its description in RNAcentral is "FMN sequence". It matches the Rfam family "FMN riboswitch aptamer (RFN element)". From Rfam's summary of the family: The RFN element is a highly conserved domain that is found frequently in the 5'-untranslated regions of prokaryotic mRNAs that encode for flavin mononucleotide (FMN) biosynthesis and transport proteins. This element is a metabolite-dependent riboswitch that directly binds FMN in the absence of proteins. In Bacillus subtilis, the riboswitch most likely controls gene expression by causing premature transcription termination within the 5' untranslated region of the ribDEAHT operon and precluding access to the ribosome-binding site of ypaA mRNA. Lineage: Bacteria; Pseudomonadati; Pseudomonadota; Alphaproteobacteria; Caulobacterales; Caulobacteraceae. The record is from RNAcentral. RNAcentral also lists the same sequence under 1 other name.
CUGCGUUCUCAGGGCGGGGUGAAACUCCCCACCGGCGGUAAUGCCCUCCAGACCUUGGCGUAGCCUCGGCGACGGAGGGACGAGCCCGCGGGCGCCUGGGCCUUCGUCAUAGGAAGGUCCCAGGGACGAGCAGACCCGGUGCGAUCCCGGGGCCGACGGUCAUAGUCCGGUUAUGAGAACGGCC